Molecule: ribosomal RNA, 2001 nt
Filed under: Triticum aestivum (bread wheat)
Lineage: Eukaryota; Viridiplantae; Streptophyta; Magnoliopsida; Poales; Poaceae
Description: partial small subunit ribosomal RNA
Source: RNAcentral
UAGGAGAAGGGUGUACGCGCCUUGGACGCGUCCUCGGCGGGGUAUGAAAAGGGUACAGGCACCUCGCGGAGUAGCGGGCAAGUGAGGUUGGGCGCGGCGGGUGAGACGGAGUGGAGAGGUCGCCAGGCCGGCGUCUACAGAGGAGGGACUCGUGUUUCACCUGCGUGCACCCCGCCGGUGACCACUUCCUCUGGCGCGCGCUCGGGCGCCGCGGGAGUGGAGGAGCGGAGAGGCCGGUGUGGCCAGAGUAAGGAUUCGUACUUAACCCACGUCCGUCCCGCCGGCGGCCGCACGCUCAGGCGCCGCGCCACCACCUCGGGAGGCCGGGGAAGGCCAAGCUCCAGGCGUUUCCAGAGGAGGGACCGCAACAACCGGAAUAGACUUCCCUGUGGACUGCUACUUAGUGUUAAACAUGACGUUAGGUAUCUGUUAUACCUGGGAUCUCGAGGACCGCCUGAACUUCCAUACAAUUAAGGGUAACUAGGGUCUUCCUCUACACCACGGUUGUUUGAGUGACUUUUACUAAUAACAAGUCUGAUAACGUCGUGACGUUGGACGAUCUAAAUUCAUAUGUUGACAAACGAAUCGCCACUUAAUCCGUUAUGUACUUUUUUAUCGUAGUAAGAUCUUCCAUAUGUAGAAACAAGUAAAAGUCCUAACGAUGGAAAAAAACAAUAUGGAGAGAAACUACUAAACUACAACCAAAGUGACCGUACCUUGUAUCUUGCUUGUAUAACUGGCGAAUUAGAAAAUAUAUACAACUAGGGGUACGAAAAGAGUCCCUCUCAUUUUUAUAUUACCAAGCAAACACAUCUUGGUUAACGUAGAACCUCAUCUCAUACGAGUUCCACCAAGUGAAAACCAAAAACGUAAGGGUACACUUUAACCCUCUCACAGACCUUUUUAUACGUCACAACACAUAUUUUUUUUAAUUGUGGCACAUAAAUCCAACGGUUAAACAUUUUUUAAAUAUCGUCUAGGUUUAUCUGUAGACUAUAAUAUGGAAGAUAGAUUAACAACCGUGAAGGAAGUUUAUUCUUGUAUUCGUCUUGAAUGUUUGGCUUUAUAGAGUAUUUACUGACACACAUAAACGAAAUACAUUAAAAGAAUAAUUGAUUAGGGUAUGUCAGGACAAUCACAUAUAUAUAGUGCACGAAGAGACGAAGAUGUAUCAGUAUAGGUAAAAAGUGUUCGUCUUUGAUACAAUCCAAAUUACCAACGGGACGCAGUAGCUAAGUGGGUACACAAGACAAAAGACGGACGAAAACAAGUGUUCGAGUCAAUACGCCACAGGAGACAGAGUUUGUGGCUACUACUGGCUAUGUACACUUAACUUUUGAACCAUAAAACAGUUUGAGACCGUAGUAGGAGUGACGAAGUCGCCGUGACCGACAGAGUGGACCAAGAAGUGUCUUUGGAGGGACAUGAUAUCGUACAGCGGCUUGGUGAGCAACACCCUACGAAUUGUGGCACAAACCUACUACGGUGUGUACUAAGUCCCUUCUGGGACGGCGUAUAUAUUCGGGUGAUUCGUCCGUAAUUAAAAGCAAAACAACUCUAUAGACAAUCGAAGUACGGAAGUGGAAUUACAUCGUCUUAUCAAUUAAUGACUAAAACAUCCCUAGAAAACAACGCUGAAAAAAGUAGACUGCUUCCUAAAUAUCACCUACGUGUAGUGAAACCCACCUUGAUAGUCCGUGUGCUGGUCACUCGCCACCGUCUUCGUUGAAGAGGGAACCUGACGUACUGUACGUGCAAAAGGACAAUCGGGAUACCGAACUGGCUACGAAGAUACAGAUGGACAUGAGCUACACAACUACCGGACUACCCGUUCCGCAUGAUUCCUAGAUCGCUGUAGAAGUACGUAUUACGUAUUACAAUAAAAAACAUUAUCUCUUAAUGUACAUGGUGAAAAGUAAUACUAUCAUAUAUAAAAUGGAUGACCACGUUCAAAUAGGACGGGAGUGAAUGAGUCCUACCACAACUGUUAAAUGUAAGUGC